CAAGAAGAUAGGAAAGGAACAAAAGAAGGAAAGAAAUCACCAAUUGUGUAAACUUGGGCUAGAUACUUAAAUUCUUUGGAACUCAGUUUCCUCACCUGCUUAUCUCAGAUAAGUCUCAAGUGAGAUAAUACAGGAGAAUACAUUCUAAUUGCAGAGAGCUGUAGAACUACACAGCCUCUAUUUUCAGUAGCCAGAAGUCAAUGAAGUAACCCCACAGGCCUUUGACCUGAGAAUUUUCAGGUAGAGACUUCUUCAUGGAUAAUCCUGAAGAGAUAAAUGCAAGGCAGAGAAGAAUGGGGUAGUCAAAGAUGAGUGUUGCAAAGAAAUACUUCUCUGCCUCCCACCAGGGACCAGAAGUUUCACCGCCUUUUUCCAGACCUCUAGGAGAACUGGUUGGAUGAGGUGGUUGGAUGGCAUCACCGACUCAAUGGACAUGAGUUUGGGUAGACUCCAGGAGUUGGUGAUGGACAGGGAGGCCUGGCGUGCUGCAGUCCAUGGGGUCACAAAGAAUUGGACACAACUGAGCGACUGAACUGAACUGAACUGAAGGACAACUAUUCCUCCCUGGCUUCAGCAAUACGUGAACCGUGAACUUCCUGACGUUCAAGCUGGUUUUAGAAAAGGCAGAGGAAUCAGAGAUCAAACUGCCAACAUCCGCUGGAUCAUGGAAACAGCAAGAGAGUUC
Long non-coding RNA from Bos taurus (domestic cattle), 685 nucleotides. The record is from Ensembl. NCBI's taxonomy places the organism in Eukaryota, Metazoa, Chordata, Mammalia, Artiodactyla, Bovidae.